UACAGAGGGUGCGAGCGUUGUUCGGAAUUAUUGGGCGUAAAGAGCUCGUAGGCGGUGUGUCGCGUCGGCCGUGAAAACCUGCAGCUUAACUGUGGGCGUGCGGUCGAUACGGGCAUCACUGGAGUUCGGCAGGGGAGACUGGAAUUCCUGGUGUAGCGGUGAAAUGCGCAGAUAUCAGGAGGAACACCGGUGGCGAAGGCGGGUCUCUGGGCCGAUACUGACGCUGAGGAGCGAAAGCGUGGGGAGCGAACAGG
Molecule: ribosomal RNA, 254 nt
Filed under: uncultured bacterium
Lineage: Bacteria
Description: partial 16S ribosomal RNA
Rfam family: Bacterial small subunit ribosomal RNA
Source: RNAcentral